CUUAUUUUCGUAUGAUGUAAGAUGUUUUAAAAUUCUAUAGUUUCAUUUUUCUCAUUCAUUCUAAAUUGUCUCGAUUAUAGUUUUUGACAUAUAUAUUUAUGUACUUUUGAUAUUUGUUUUUUUUAGUUGGAAUUCUAUAUUUUUUUUCUUUCUUUGCGUUUGAAAGACUAAGAGCAAGUCAGUUUUGUUACAUGGAGUUUGGAAUUAUGAAUUAAAUAUUCUGAAUUACUUCUGUAGUUAUUUUCCGUGUAUGUUUAAUUAUUGUUUAAUCUAUAAGAAAACUAUGCUUUGAUAUUAAGUUUAGAGAGUUGCAUAUAUAAUCAUGUUAUGAAACGGCUAAAAUAGAUAUAUUUUUAAUUAAUAAUUAGAUUUAUCAUUAUAUAAUUAACCAU
Molecule: long non-coding RNA, 392 nt
Filed under: Brassica napus (rape)
Lineage: Eukaryota; Viridiplantae; Streptophyta; Magnoliopsida; Brassicales; Brassicaceae
Description: long non-coding RNA (BNAP_LNC012625)
Source: RNAcentral